UACGUAGGGGGCAAGCGUUGUCCGGAAUCAUUGGGCGUAAAGCGCGUGUAGGCGGCCCGGUAAGUCCGCUGUGAAAGUCGGGGGCUCAACCCUCGGAUGCCGGUGGAUACUGUCGGGCUCGAGUACGGAAGAGGCGAGUGGAAUUCCUGGUGUAGCGGUGAAAUGCGCAGAUAUCAGGAGGAACACCAAUUGCGAAGGCAGCUCGCUGGGACGUUACUGACGCUGAGACGCGAAAGCCAGGGGAGCAAACGGG
Molecule: ribosomal RNA, 253 nt
Filed under: uncultured bacterium
Lineage: Bacteria
Description: partial 16S ribosomal RNA
Rfam family: Bacterial small subunit ribosomal RNA
Source: RNAcentral